UACGUAGGCAGCAAGCGUUGUUCGGAAUUACUGGGCGUAAAGCGUGCGCAGGCGGUUCGUUGUGUCGGUGGUGAAAGCCCCGGGCUUAACCUGGGAAUGGCCGUCGAAACUGGCGAACUGGAGUGUGGCAGAGGGGGGUGGAAUUCCGCGUGUAGCAGUGAAAUGCGUAGAGAUGCGGAGGAACACCGAUGGCGAAGGCAGCCCCCUGGGCUGACACUGACGCUCAGGCACGAAAGCGUGGGGAGCAAACAGG
Molecule: ribosomal RNA, 253 nt
Filed under: uncultured bacterium
Lineage: Bacteria
Description: partial 16S ribosomal RNA
Rfam family: Bacterial small subunit ribosomal RNA
Source: RNAcentral